RNAcentral lists this transfer RNA (76 nucleotides) under Parvibaculum sp. Its description in RNAcentral is "tRNA-Val". It matches the Rfam family "tRNA". From Rfam's summary of the family: Transfer RNA (tRNA) molecules are approximately 80 nucleotides in length. Lineage: Bacteria; Pseudomonadati; Pseudomonadota; Alphaproteobacteria; Hyphomicrobiales; Parvibaculaceae. RNAcentral also lists the same sequence under 1 other name. The record is from RNAcentral.
GGAUGCUUAGCUCAGUUGGUAGAGCACUGUGUUCACAUCGCAGGGGUCACUGGUUCGAGUCCAGUAGCGUCCACCA